RNAcentral lists this ribosomal RNA (253 nucleotides) under uncultured bacterium. Its description in RNAcentral is "partial 16S ribosomal RNA". It matches the Rfam family "Bacterial small subunit ribosomal RNA", at positions 524 to 776 of the family's 1533-position model. The record is from RNAcentral.
UACGUAGGGUGCAAGCGUUAAUCGGAAUUACUGGGCGUAAAGCGUGCGCAGGCGGUUUUGUAAGACCGAUGUGAAAUCCCCGGGCUUAACCUGGGAACUGCAUUGGUGACUGCAAGGCUUGAGUGUGUCAGAGGGAGGUGGAAUUCCGCGUGUAGCAGUGAAAUUCGUAGAUAUUGGGUGGAACACCGGUGGCGAAGGCGGCCAUCUGGGCUGUAACUGACGCUGAGGCGCGAGAGCGUGGGGAGCAAACAGG